UACGAAGGGUGCAAGCGUUACUCGGAAUUACUGGGCGUAAAGGGCGCGUAGGCGGGAUGGCAAGUCGGUCGUGAAAUCCCUCGGCUCAACCGAGGAACGUCGAUCGAUACUGCUGUUCUUGAGGAUUGCAGAGGAGACUGGAAUUCCCGGUGUAGCGGUGAAAUGUGUAGAGAUCAGGAAGAACACCCGUGGCGAAGGCGGCCCACUGGGCCGGUGCUGACGCUGAGGCGCGAAGGCGUGGGGAGCGAACGGG
Molecule: ribosomal RNA, 253 nt
Filed under: uncultured bacterium
Lineage: Bacteria
Description: partial 16S ribosomal RNA
Rfam family: Bacterial small subunit ribosomal RNA
Source: RNAcentral